This 72-nucleotide transfer RNA is filed under the name Puccinia sorghi. It matches the Rfam family "tRNA". Rfam says of the family: Transfer RNA (tRNA) molecules are approximately 80 nucleotides in length. Lineage: Eukaryota; Fungi; Basidiomycota; Pucciniomycetes; Pucciniales; Pucciniaceae. The record is from Rfam by way of RNAcentral.
GUGCACUUAGCUCAAUGGUUAGAGCAUCACACAUGAACACUGAGGUUGUGGGUUUGAGUCCCACAGUAAACA